RNAcentral lists this ribosomal RNA (523 nucleotides) under uncultured bacterium. RNAcentral's name for it is "bacterial SSU rRNA". It matches the Rfam family "Bacterial small subunit ribosomal RNA", at positions 777 to 1297 of the family's 1533-position model. The record is from RNAcentral.
AAUAGAUACCCGGGUAGUCCACGCCGUAAACGAUGAGUGCUAAGUGUUAGAGGGUUUCCGCCCUUUAGUGCUGCAGCUAACGCAUUAAGCACUCCGCCUGGGGAGUACGGUCGCAAGACUGAAACUCAAAGGAAUUGACGGGGGGCCCGCACAAGCGGUGGAGCAUGUGGUUUAAUUCGAAGCAACGCGAAGAACCUUACCAGGUCUUGACAUCCUCUGACAACUCUAGAGAUAGAGCGUUCCCCUUCGGGGGACAGAGUGACAGGUGGUGCAUGGUUGUCGUCAGCUCGUGUCGUGAGAUGUUGGGUUAAGUCCCGCAACGAGCGCAACCCUUGAUCUUAGUUGCCAGCAUUUAGUUGGGCACUCUAAGGUGACUGCCGGUGACAAACCGGAGGAAGGUGGGGAUGACGUCAAAUCAUCAUGCCCCUUAUGACCUGGGCUACACACGUGCUACAAUGGAUGGUACAAAGGGCUGCAAGACCGCGAGGUCAAGCCAAUCCCAUAAAACCAUUCUCAGUUCGGA